Long non-coding RNA from Cervus elaphus (red deer), 1384 nucleotides. RefSeq lists it as uncharacterized. The transcript has 7 exons. The record is from RefSeq and is a predicted model, not a curated record. NCBI's taxonomy places the organism in Eukaryota, Metazoa, Chordata, Mammalia, Artiodactyla, Cervidae.
UUCCUGACCCAGGGAUGGAACCCGUGUCUCUUGCAUCUCCUGCAUGGACAGGCGGAUUCUUUACCAACUGCGCUACCUAGGAAGUGGGUGCAGACUCGGUCUUGGUAAAGUCCUGCCCUGGUCUAACCAAGAGAUGAGGGAAUGGAGGCCUAAGAAAGAUCAGGGAGUUUGUGAAGAUCACAGAGUUAGCAGUGAUUCGUCUUUUUCGGAAAACUGAAGAAAUGAAUCAGGAAUCCUGGAGAACGCUGGCAGAUCCUGCAUUCAUGGCUGUGUGCCCCUAGGCAAGAUAUGAUCCGGGGCUGGGCUGGUUUAGCCUGACAUGGAUUUGGAGGUGCUUGGGGGUAAAGCUCAUCUAAAGAGUGACAUUUAGACUCUGAGCCCGAAGAGUGGAAUGUGAGUCCCAGGAAGGCAUGAAUGAAGGAAGAAGAUGGACCAUGUGAAGAUGAUGCCCUCCCCCCCGCCAGCACCGGCCUAAUCCAGAGGAAAACCACAAUGGAGACCCCUUGAUAUGGUCCAUUGGGGUUGGCCUCCAGAGACUCAAAGCAGGGUGGAGCAGGCGGGAGAGAGGCUCUGGAAGGGCAGCUGGAAGCCACCCAGAACACACACAACUGCGGGCAAAACACAACUGAAUGGUAACCUUUGAACAGACCUGGAAGGAUAAGGUCCAAAAACGUACCUGAGUUGAAUGUGGCAAGAGUUCGUGCUUUGUGAAGUUAGAGAACGACAACAUUCAUCUGGCAAAAGUGGCCAGAAGAAGUGGAAAUUCUAGUGAUGUUUAAGUAAGGGGACAAAGACGGCUGGAGGCCCUGGGGGUGAAGAAGUGAUUCCUUGCAUCUGUCCAUGCUUGAAAGAUAGAGAUGAUAGCGAGAUAAGAGGAUGAAAGAUGUGCGAACAGCAGAUGCUCCAAGAGGGAACAUCUGUCUAUAGGCUCCUGGAUUCUGAUGUGUGAGCGUUUGGUCUAAGGAACUGUUUUCAAGCCUGCGAACUGCUUGGCAGACUCUGGUCUGGGACACUUCCUUAUGCACCAAGUAAGGAACAAGCUACAACCACCAACACAACAACGAGCCAAGUUGCGUAAGGAAAUACACACUUGUCAGUCACUUGCCAAAUGCCCUUCUCUGAGUCAGGGGGUUGGGUGUCCCACCCCUGCAGGGUCCUGCAGCCUGCAGAAUAGUUCUUGCAUGGUGCAUGUUUCAUUGUGAGCAGAGACUGUCUCUACCACAUAGGAGGAACUUUAUUUUUCCUUAAUAAAGCACGUAGUUUGUGUUUGGAACGUGCGUGUGCUUGCAUGUGUGCAUGUGUGUGGGUGCAUGUCACUGAAUGUAUCUGUGUGCCUGCCUGUGACGCUGGGCCAGCAGAGAUGGACACACUUCCACUCAUGAGA